This 433-nucleotide ribosomal RNA is filed under the name uncultured bacterium. Its description in RNAcentral is "partial 16S ribosomal RNA". It matches the Rfam family "Bacterial small subunit ribosomal RNA", at positions 355 to 780 of the family's 1533-position model. The record is from RNAcentral.
UGGGGAAUAUUGGACAAUGGGCGCAAGCCUGAUCCAGCAAUGCCGCGUGUGUGAAGAAGGCCUUCGGGUUGUAAAGCACUUUUAUCAGGAGCGAAACGCUGUCGGCUAAUACCCGGCGGAACUGACGGUACCUGAGGAAUAAGCACCGGCUAACUUCGUGCCAGCAGCCGCGGUAAUACGAAGGGUGCAAGCGUUAAUCGGAAUUACUGGGCGUAAAGCGUGCGUAGGCGGUUUCUUAAGUCUGCUGUGAAAUCCCCGGGCUCAACCUGGGAAUGGCAGUGGAUACUGGGAGGCUAGAGUGUGUCAGAGGGUGGUGGAAUUCCCGGUGUAGCGGUGAAAUGCGUAGAGAUCGGGAGGAACAUCAGUGGCGAAGGCGGCCACCUGGGACAACACUGACGCUGAGGCACGAAAGCGUGGGGAGCAAACAGGAUUA